Long non-coding RNA from Mya arenaria, 426 nucleotides. RefSeq lists it as uncharacterized. The record is from RefSeq and is a predicted model, not a curated record. NCBI's taxonomy places the organism in Eukaryota, Metazoa, Mollusca, Bivalvia, Myida, Myidae. The transcript is spliced from 3 exons.
UUUUUUCACGCACUUUGUUUUCUGAGUUCAAAUUAUCAUUUGGACAGACAUCUUGUCUUUUUACAUUUUUAAGAUUGGAUCCUAAGUAUAAUGUGAUCUGUUUAGCAGAACAUUGACACCACGGUCUUGGGGUUGAGAGCAUAGAAGACAGUCUUAGACUGAGAGACAUGUAUAUUUGACAUUUGGCGCCACACGCCUUAUGUUGACUUGUGACUUGUUAUCAUCACCAUUGUGAAUGAACGAAUGAAUACAUACAUAUAGACGAUACACUGUGUUAUGAUUGUUUAAGCCACAAAUGGACACAUCCUUAAUAGUCCCUGGACAAUAUAUCUGAACCUUCCCCCAACAAGUCGAUCAGAACUUUCUUUACGAAAACGUCGGCCUGUUACACGUGCACCACCGCAAUAUGGUUGUAUACAAAAAUUA